RNAcentral lists this long non-coding RNA (776 nucleotides) under Triticum aestivum (bread wheat). RNAcentral's name for it is "long non-coding RNA (TAES_LNC025762)". Lineage: Eukaryota; Viridiplantae; Streptophyta; Magnoliopsida; Poales; Poaceae. The record is from RNAcentral.
ACUUCGUCGAGGACUGGGUCAGGAUCGGCUUCCCGGCCAAGAAGAAGGUGCAGACUGAGUGCGCCUCCAUGCCUUUCGAUGACCAGUGCACCGUCCUCGAAAAGGUUCGCACCAUUGCCCAUCUGCCAUCUCAUACUUUGCUCAUAUAUUACUCCUAUUGGCAGUACUGUAGACUUCGCAAUUCUGCAUGUGGUUUGUCUAACUGAUGAUUGGUACGCUGACCAAGGGAUAUUUCUGAAUUGUUUCCACAGGAGGCAGUGAACGUGUCCCUCCAGAACCUCCUGACCUACCCGUUCGUCAAGGAGGGUGUGUCCAACGGAACCCUCAAGCUGGUCGGCGGUCACUACGACUUCGUCUCCGGCAAGUUCGAGACAUGGGAGCAGUGAAUCUUCCCCAGCGGUUAACUCCUAUAUAUACAUGCGAAUGCAAACGCGUACAUAUAUCAAGAUAUCGUCCGACCGACCGAUGUGAAUCCAAUGCCAUGGAGUGCGUACUCGUUGUUUUCCAGUACUGGAUGCCGGGAUGGCCCGAUGUGAAUUCGCCAUAAGCAAUAGAACCCUUUUUCUUUUACCAUUUUCUGACGAGGAAUUGUACUACCCGUGUGAUGCAUAAUUUGAUCGUCCUGUGAUCAAAAGACAUCAUAUAUAAGUUUAAUAAUAUUUUCAUGAACAGUUUACCCCUUUUAUUACCCUUUGUCCUUGUGGUUUUCCGUCUUGUGUCUGGCACUGCUUAGCUGUUUGCCCAACCCAAGAAACAGUUUGUACUACUGUAUAUCU